RNAcentral lists this non-coding RNA (95 nucleotides) under bovine gut metagenome. The record is from RNAcentral.
GACAACAGGGGAGCUUGUGAAGGCAGGCUGAGAACGAGAGAUACAGCUCGGACCCAUAACCUGAUUUGGAUAAUGCCAACGUAGGGAUAGAGAUU